GUGGAUAUAACUCAGCGGUAGAGUGUCACCUUAAGUUGGUGAAAGUCAUCAGUUCGAGCCUGAUUAUCCUAA
RNAcentral lists this transfer RNA (72 nucleotides) under Monotropa uniflora (ghost pipe). RNAcentral's name for it is "tRNA-Val". It matches the Rfam family "tRNA". From Rfam's summary of the family: Transfer RNA (tRNA) molecules are approximately 80 nucleotides in length. Their secondary structure includes four short double-helical elements and three loops (D, anti-codon, and T loops). The record is from RNAcentral. Lineage: Eukaryota; Viridiplantae; Streptophyta; Magnoliopsida; Ericales; Ericaceae.